Molecule: long non-coding RNA, 586 nt
Organism: Vidua macroura (Pin-tailed whydah)
Lineage: Eukaryota; Metazoa; Chordata; Aves; Passeriformes; Viduidae
Exons: 3
Source: RefSeq, a predicted model, not a curated record
UGAACAAGGAGCUGCACGUGUGUCUGAAGCCCUUGGAGGGGGAAAGGAAUCCUUGAGAGGAAGUAGAAUGGUCAUUGUGGCAGUGAUCCUUCAGAAAAUCCAUGAAAAUGGACCAUGAAUCUGGCCAUCCACUCGAGUAGAACUAGCCUUUGGUUUUGACCCAUCCAGUCUGAGAAGUGGACAUCAGAAAAAACCCACUUAAGAGCCCUGCAUGUUGCUGACAGCACCUUCCUAAGGGCUUGCAUUUGAAAUGGAAUCUCAGGCUAAUCUCUGCCAGCCACCUUUCUGACAUAAACUCAUUUCUUGUCCCAGAUCUACAAGGGCUUUGUCACCAAACCUGCUGCAGCAGCAGCAUGGUCUAAAGGAGCCUUUGCUCUCCACCCUGAGAAGCGGAGCCGGGGCGGUUUGCUCAUCUCCAGUGCUGACCCAGCUGCUGCUCAGCAACAGGAGAUCAAGGAUGACUCCCUGGAGCUACGGAGGAAAAUAGUGAACAUGGAAAAUCCUGUGAUGAAAUACACGGAACUGGAACAUAUUGGCAGAGGGACUUUUGGAGAUGUUUGCAUAGCACUUGACAAUGCCACAGGAG